RNAcentral lists this ribosomal RNA (253 nucleotides) under uncultured bacterium. RNAcentral describes it as "partial 16S ribosomal RNA". It matches the Rfam family "Bacterial small subunit ribosomal RNA", at positions 524 to 776 of the family's 1533-position model. The record is from RNAcentral.
UACGUAGGGGGCAAGCGUUGUCCGGAAUCAUUGGGCGUAAAGCGCGUGUAGGCGGCCCGAUAAGUCCGCUGUGAAAGUCCAGGGCUCAACCCUGGAAUGCCGGUGGAUACUGUCAGGCUAGAGUCCGGAAGAGGCGAGUGGAAUUCCUGGUGUAGCGGUGAAAUGCGCAGAUAUCAGGAGGAACACCUAUGGCGAAGGCAGCUCGCUGGGACGGUACUGACGCUGAGACGCGAAAGCGUGGGGAGCGAACAGG